AGUCAAACAGCACGUGAAAUUGUUGAAAGGGAAGCGCUUGCAGCCAGACUUGCUUACAGUUGCUCAUCCGGGUUUUUACCCGGUGCACUCUUCUGUAGGCAGGCCAGCAUCAGUUUGGGCGGUAGGAUAAAGGUCUCUGUCACGUACCUCCUUUCGGGGAGGCCUUAUAGGGGAGACGACAUACUACCAGCCUGGACUGAGGUCCGCGCAUCUGCUAGGAUGCUGGCGUAAUGGCUGUAAGCGGCCC
Molecule: ribosomal RNA, 247 nt
Filed under: Alternaria alternata
Lineage: Eukaryota; Fungi; Ascomycota; Dothideomycetes; Pleosporales; Pleosporaceae
Description: partial 28S ribosomal RNA
Rfam family: Eukaryotic large subunit ribosomal RNA
Source: RNAcentral